Molecule: ribosomal RNA, 480 nt
Filed under: cf. Monographella sp. LP-E1/2
Lineage: Eukaryota; Fungi; Ascomycota; Sordariomycetes; Amphisphaeriales; Hyponectriaceae
Description: SSU rRNA
Rfam family: Eukaryotic small subunit ribosomal RNA
Source: RNAcentral
ACUGCGAAUGGCUCAUUAAAUCAGUUAUCGUUUAUUUGAUAGUACCUUACUACUUGGAUAACCGUGGUAAUUCUAGAGCUAAUACAUGCUAAAAACCCCGACUCACGAAGGGGUGUAUUUAUUAGAUUAAAAACCAAUGCCCUUCGGGGCUCUCUGGUGAUUCAUAAUAACUUCUCGAAUCGCAUGGCCUUGUGCCGGCGAUGGUUCAUUCAAAUUUCUGCCCUAUCAACUUUCGAUGGCAGGGUCUUGGCCUGCCAUGGUUACAACGGGUAACGGAGGGUUAGGGCUCGACCCCGGAGAAGGAGCCUGAGAAACGGCUACUACAUCCAAGGAAGGCAGCAGGCGCGCAAAUUACCCAAUCCCGAUUCGGGGAGGUAGUGACAAUAAAUACUGAUACAGGGCUCUUUUGGGUCUUGUAAUUGGAAUGAGUACAAUUUAAAUCCCUUAACGAGGAACAAUUGGAGGGCAAGUCUGGUGCGC